UUUUUUUUUCCUUGAGUGAGAGUUCUACUUCCUGCCUGUUAUACUUCAGAAGUCUAAUGUACAAGUUGAUGUAAAGAAGCAAGGCUGAACUGAAGCCUUGGUCUAUAAGGUAAGGGAAAGCAUGAUUGCUCAAGAGCUGCUUUGGUAAAGCAGUGUCCUGAGAUUGGUUGGUAUGACUGCUGGGCUUUCGUGACAAUUUUACUGCCUAUAGGUAUAGGGAAAGAAAUCUCUCAGUGGAGUUAACUCCCGCAAGAAAUGUAUUUAUUUGUUUUGAAAUAAUUUAUAUUUAAGAGUACUUUUCCACCAUAUGUCUAUGAAAUGAAGAAACCCACAGCCCCAUUAAAAGGACAUUGAUAGGUAGGUUUAAGGGCAUUAUUACAGCACUCUACCAAUGAGGAAUUCUAGGCUAAAAUUUCAGCAUACUGUGCUUAUUCAUUUUAGAAAUCUGAGCUAAGUUUUUAAAAACAAACAAUGAAAAAACAGGAAUUCCCCUUGAGGUACACUGGAAAUGAAUCUGACUAAGGACCAUGAGGUUGUGGGUUCAAUCCCUGGCCUCACUCAGUGGGUUAAGGAUCCAGCAUUGCCAUGAGCUGUGGUGUAGGGUGCAGACACACCUCAGAUCUGGUGUUGCUAUGGCUGUGGUGUAGGCCAGCAGCUGUAGCUCCAAUUGGACCCUUAACCUGGGAACCUCCAUAUGAGGCAGGUGCAGCCCUAAAAAGACCAAAAAAAAAAAAAAAAACCAAAAACAAAAAACAAAAAAACAAAACCCCAAAUAACAACGAAUUCUGUUCUCAAAUUGAAGAAGAAAAAUAAAAGAAAAAAAAAGAAAGGAAAGGAAAAUAAAAGCAAAGACCCUCCUCAGAGAUAUACAGUGCUUUUGCAGAUUGGUGAAUGUGAAAUGUAAGUGUUCCUGAUUGUAUUAUAAUCAGUAAUAGAAAGCAUAGAGAUUCCAGCAGUGAAACUAUAGAACUGGAAAACACUGUCAAAAAAUAAAUUGAAUUGACAUUUAUAUAACACUCCAGGAAACAAUAGUUGAAUAAACAUUCUUUUAAAUGUACAUGGAGAAUGCACCAAGACAGACUAUUAUUCUAGCUCAAAAACAAACCUAAACAGGAGUUCUCUUGUGGCUCAGUGGGUUAAGGAUCUAGUGUUGUCACUGCAGUGGCUCAGGUCACUACUAUGGUGUGGGUUCAAUCCCUGGCCCAGGAAAUUCUGCAUACUGUGGGUGCAGCAAAAUAGAAAAUGAAAGUUCUGUGGCCAUAACAGCAUUAAACUAAAGAUCAGUAAUAAAAAGAAAAAUUUUUAAUGUCCAAACACUUGGAAAUUUAACACCACAUUUCUAAAUAAAACGUGGGUCAAAGAAGUCUGACUUUCAAACCUUUGGGAUCUACAUUUAGGCAAGGAGUUCUUUGAUGUGGUACUAAAAACAUUAAGUCAUAAAAGAAAAAAAUUAGCAUGUUAAAUAUCCUCAAAAUUAAAAACCUUUGCUCUGUGAAAGAUACUAUAAGGAGAAUUAAAAUAUAGGCUACAGACAUGGAAAAAAUGUUUUCAUAUCAUUUUUCCAACAAAUGACUUAUUGAAUAUAUAAAGAAUUGUUAAAAUUCAGCAAUAAGAAAAGCUCGGUUUAAAAAAAUGGUCAAUGAGUUCCUGUUUUGGCUUGGUGGAAACGAAACCGACCAGUAUCCUUGAGUAUGCAGAUUUGAUCCCUGGCCUGGCUCAGUGGGUCAAGGAUCUAGCGUUGCCAUGAGCUGUGGUGUAGGUCACAGACACGGCUUGGAUCCCACAUUGCUGUGGCUGUGGCAUGGGCAAGUAGCUGUGGCCUAGACUGAAUCCCUAGCUUGGGAAUUUUCAUAUGCUGCAGGUGCAGCCUAAAAAGCAAAAAGUAAAUAAAUAAAUAAAGUCAAAAGAUUUGAGCAGAUAUAUUUUAAAGAACAUAUAUGAACACAUGAAAAGAUAAAUCUUAGGUUUAUUAGUCAUAUGAAUACCCAAGCAAGAUAUUACUGCAUACAUUAGAAUGGCUAAAAACUAAAUGAAACAACAAAAAUCUGACAAUACCAACUGCUGGUAAAAAUGAGUGACAAAAGUUAUUCCCAUAUAUUGCUGAAAGGAAUGUACAAUUCAAAAUGAUACAGCCUCUCUGGAAAACAGUUUGGCAUUUCAAUAAAAAGUUAAAAAUACACUCAAAGUAUGACCCCACACUCAACUUAUAGUAUGCUAAAACAGGAAUUGACAAACUAUGGUUUCUGUGCCAAUUCCUCUCCGUGGCCUGUUUUCCUAUGGCCUGCAAACUGUAAAUAGCUUUUACAUUUUUAAAUUAAAUAAGGAAAAAAAAAGAAGAGAAAAUGAAUGUGUGUGGCCUGCCAAGAGGAAAAUAUUUAUUAUCUCUCCUUUCACACACAGGCAAUAAUUUUGAUAAACAAUUUACUUUCAUGCAAGACCCUAUGCAUGAAGAUGUAUAGCAGCUAUUCAUAAUCACCAAAACUAGAAACAACUCAAAUGUUCUUUAAUAGAUGAGUGAAUAAACAAUGGUGCCACAUCCCUAAAAUAGAAUAGUACACAGCAAGAGGAGGGAACACAUUUUGGUACAACUUUGAUGGAUUCAGAGACAUCAUCGGGGAGGAAUACUAUUCUUGAAAGAUUGCAUACAGUGUAUGAUUCCUUUUAUAUGACAUUCUAGAAAAGGCAAAACUAUAUGGAUGGAAAAUACAUCAGCAGUCUUCAGAGCUUAGUGGUAUAGAGAAAGGAUUACGGAGGGCUAAAAUGAAGGAGUUUUUUUGAGGGGUUAAGAAAGCAUUCUCUAUACUGAUAGGAGAUAUGCUUGUAUGAUUCUAUGUGAGAGUUAACACUCAGAUUGUACGUCAAAAAAAAGUUUACUGAAUAUACAUUUAAAUGAUAGCAAUAUUAAUAAUAAACUCUCCUGAUGAACAAGUAAUUUAUUUUGUGUUGUGGUAAUUAAAAAAAAAAUAUUCCACAUUCCCUCUUGAGCAGGGGACAGGUUCUUAGGUGGAUGAAUGAAAGCAGAUCUUAGGAUGGAAUGGUCCAGCAGCACUUUGUUAAAGAGAAGCUUAAGUAAGAACAGGAGAAUUGAAGAAGUUUAUCCAUGUCUGGCUUAAAUUAGUAAACUAUGGCGUUAGUUAAAAAGAAAAAAAUGUAUAUAGAAGGGUAGAAAGUAUGUUUAAGUUAUGGCUAUCAUAUAAAUUAUCCCAGAUCUGUAUGUUGAGUCCUGGAAAAAUAAGAGUUUGGAGUAGAUUUCUGACAAAACUUGAAAAGUCACUAUUCAAAUACUGACUAUAGAAAUAGUGAUUUGAGUUCCUGCUUUGGUGCAGUGGGUUAAGAAUCCAACUACAAUGUGGCCAUAAUAAACAAAUAAAUAAAUAAGAAGAAAUAGAGAUUAAUCCCAAGGUAUUGCACGUAAAAAGGUACUGAGGCAAAAUAUUAACUCAGGUAGUCAGUAUAGGAACAUGGGCUUCGAUGCAUUCUUUGAUAUGGCCAUUGAUUAACAUUUGUGGUUUAAGGGCUCCAGGGCGUAACAUCCCCAUAGGCCUUGUUUACUACGGGAGCUCACCUAUACCCAGAUGGACAUUAAUCCCUAAUACCCUAUGACUUACUUUAUGGGAAGACAAGGGCAAAGAAACUAUGAGACUUAGGAGACUUACGGGACAUUCCCACCCCUAAGACGCUAUUUGACAAGGACUGAUAUAGGUAAUUGAACAAGGCCAAUGGGAGAAAACCACAUCUUUCUGCAACCCACAUUGGUAAACCUCCUGAUCUUUUAAGGAAUAAAAACCCCUAUGGACAAUAGAGAAAGGGGGUUCGUCUCACCCUUCCCAGCAGCCCUGGGAGCUAUUUGCUUUUCUUCAAUAAAGAUUUUGCUUGUUUGCUUGCUUGCUACCUUUGUGUUCAUGGAGUUCAUUCUUUGACUGCCGUGAACCAGAACCCAGAUUCUGGUAUCAGGUAUCAUCUUUCCAGUACAAGACAGUUUUCUUAGGUGCUGGGAAUGUUCUGUUUAUUGGUCUAAAAUCUCGUUAUUUAGGUACGCUUACAUUAUGCAAUUCAGAUUUAUUUGAGUUGUUCAUUUUAUUAAAGAAGAGGUCUAUAUUUUUCCAUUCACUAUUAUUCAGAAAGUAAUGAGCGGAGGCUUCUUUGUGUUGUUGUGUGCCUUAAAAGAUUAAAGUCCCUGGCAUUGUCCUAAGAGAAUAUUGCUGUCCUUUUUCUUUACAGAGAUUCAAUGCUUUGGUCCCAACAAGCUCCUUGGACUUUGAAUAUAUUUAUAGGAAGAAGAUUGAGAAAAACCCUAUGGUCACUAUGGUCCACUUGCCUAUACUCCUUAUAUACCCUUGGCUAAUUGUAGGUCUUAUAGUCCUUUAUCACAUCUGAAAUGGUAAGUGGAAGCUCCCUCUGUCUUUUGUGUAUUUUAAGAGGAAUUUUAUACACACUUGAGGGUAAAACUCCCUAAGGAAAAGACUUCUAGCUGGCUUUAAAUCACACUCAUCUCUCUCCCUCUCUGUCUGUAUCAUAACUUCUUUUUCUUAAUGUGAAAGUAAAAUCAAGCCUCUACCUUCCUUUAAAAAAAAAAUGCUCUCCUUGUCAUUUCAAUGAGUAAAGUUAAAGAGAUUUAAUAAUGUUCUUUUAAGUGCUUUAGAACACCACAUUUUCCUUGUUCUUCAGUAGUUCUCUUCCUAGAUUUCUUCCUUUGUCAGUGCUUUAAAUUUUACUUUUACUAAUGUCUUCUAAAGCUAAAUAUGAUACCUACAUAAUACAGUCACACCAAGAGCUUUAACUGUGCCGAUGACGCUCAACGUUAUAUUUUCAAAUUAAAUUCAAUUGCUAGCUGUGCCCUAAAUUUCAUACUAUUCCUCCUCUGCACUAAUAGAAUUGAUAGCUUUGCAUUCAGCUUCCAAGUGACACUGAGGGUUGUCACCAGUCAGAGCCAUUAAACUUAAACUUGCUUAAUGACUAAUAAACUAAACCUGCCUUCACUAAUCAAGCCAGCUUUGUUUUUAAACAAACAUUUGCAUAUUCUCUAAGUAGCAUGCAGCCUAAAUAAGAAAAAAUCACACAGUCUUUACUCUCAGGGAGCAGAUAUUCUAAUACAAAAGAAAAGAGAAGUUUAGAAAUAAGUCAACAAAAGAGAGUUCCCAUUGUAGCUCAGCGGGUUAAGACUCAAAAAUAG
RNAcentral lists this long non-coding RNA (5173 nucleotides) under Sus scrofa (pig). Its description in RNAcentral is "lncRNA (ENSSSCG00050029352.1)". Lineage: Eukaryota; Metazoa; Chordata; Mammalia; Artiodactyla; Suidae. The record is from RNAcentral.